This 459-nucleotide ribosomal RNA is filed under the name uncultured bacterium. RNAcentral's name for it is "partial 16S ribosomal RNA". It matches the Rfam family "Bacterial small subunit ribosomal RNA", at positions 338 to 795 of the family's 1533-position model. The record is from RNAcentral.
CCUACGGGUGGCAGCAGUGAGGAAUAUUGGUCAAUGGGCGCGAGCCUGAACCAGCCAAGCCGCGUGAGGGAAGACGGUCCUAUGGAUUGUAAACCUCUUUUGUCGGGGAGCAAAAGACGCCACGCGUGGCGUUCCGAGAGUACCCGAAGAAAAAGCAUCGGCUAACUCCGUGCCAGCAGCCGCGGUAAUACGGAGGAUGCGAGCGUUAUCCGGAUUUAUUGGGUUUAAAGGGUGCGCAGGCGGAAGAUUAAGUCAGCGGUAAAAGUGAGAGGCUCAACCCCUUCGAGCCGUUGAAACUGGUUUUCUUGAGUGAGUGAGAGGUAUGCGGAAUGCGUGGUGUAGCGGUGAAAUGCAUAGAUAUCGCGCAGAACUCCGAUUGCGAAGGCAGCAUACCGGCGCUCAACUGACGCUCAGGCACGAAAGUGUGGGUAUCGAACAGGAUUAGAUACCCCGGUAGUC